RNAcentral lists this ribosomal RNA (501 nucleotides) under uncultured bacterium. Its description in RNAcentral is "partial 16S ribosomal RNA". It matches the Rfam family "Bacterial small subunit ribosomal RNA", at positions 30 to 523 of the family's 1533-position model. The record is from RNAcentral.
AUUGAACGCUGGCGGCAUGCCUUACACAUGCAAGUCGAACGGCAGCACGGGUGCUUGCACCUGGUGGCGAGUGGCGAACGGGUGAGUAAUAUAUCGGAACGUACCUUAUUGUGGGGGAUAACGCAGCGAAAGCUGUGCUAAUACCGCCUAAUCCCUAAGGGGGAAAGCGGGGGACCGUAAGGCCUCGCGCAAUUAGAGCGGCCGAUACCUGAUUAGCCAGUUGGUGAGGUAAAGGCUCACCAAGGCAACGAUCAGUAGCUGGUCUGAGAGGACGAUCAGCCACACUGGGACUGAGACACGGCCAAGACUCCUACGGGAGGCAGCAGUGGGGAAUUUUGGACAAUGGGGGCAACCCUGAUCCAGCAAUGCCGCGUGAGUGAAGAAGGCCUUCGGGUUGUAAAGCUCUUUUGUCAGGGAAGAAACAGCAGCUCUAACACAGUUUGCGAAUGACGGUACCUGAAGAAUAAGCACCGGCUAACUACGUGCCAGCAGCCGCCGUAA